AUGCACCACCUCUUCCUCCUCUUCCUCCUCCUCAUUUCCUUGCUUCCCCAUGAAACCAGCUACUCCGCGGCCGCAGCUUCUGACGGCGGCGACUUGUGCAGCCGCGGGUGCGGCCGUACCACCUUCCCCUACCCUUUUGGAUUCUCAAGUGACUGCCCCAUCCCCAUGUUCUGCGACGCUCGCACCUCCACGCCGAUCCUCUCAUACGAAGCAGGAGACAGCGGCACAUUCUACCACGUCUUGGCCUUCAACUCCACCAGCUCCACCGUCAUCGUCAUGCUCCCAACAUCGUGCAGCCGCAGCGUCGCCGACGCCAGGAGGGCGCUCUCCGGCGGAAACUACGGCGUAUUGUCCAGCACCACGAUGUUCCUCCGUGGCGGCUGCCGCGGCAUCAACGCAUCAGCGGCCGCCGGGUGCAGUUUGCCGGCGGCCGUCAUGUCCAAGCUACUCCACACGGCGCAGUGCGCCGUUAACAACAACGGCACCUCGAACACUACCGUGGCGUGCAUUUCUUCUGCCACAGAGGACACCACUGCGGCGGCGACAGAAUUGUUUCUGCAGUGGGACAAGGUGGAGAAGCAAGAGUGCGACACCGUGCUGACCUCCUCCGUAUUCAUUGACACAGCGGAGGGGACGGUGUCGCUGGAGUACGGGCUCGCAGAGCUGGGGUGGUGGGUCAACGGAACGUGCGCUGACCAGGACACAGAGCCUGGCGUGCGGUGCGCCGGGAACGCGACGUGCUCCGAUGUAAUUACACCGAGCGGGGCGGUGGGGCAUCGGUGCGUGUGCGUGGAAGGGAUGAACGGCGACGGGUUCUUGGCUGGAGAUGGAUGCUACGUCGGUACAAGAGGUCACAUGUUGUCGUGGAGGGGAGGACCCAAGUGUUGCGGGUUGCGGUCUUGCGGAGCAAACGACGGACGGGAGUCAGGAAUACGAUGGGAUUGGGUUUUUGUUACCGUGAUAGUUGAAAAUCAAUCAACUCCUUCCAAAGAAGAUGCGUCUCCCUCGAACUCGAAGCACCAACUAUUAGUAGUGGUGCUCACGUCUGUUGGUUGCAUCAUAUUCCUACCAUCUCUCACCAUAGCGAUUUGUAUCCUCUUCCGCCGCAGCCGAAGGCGCAACACCAUCAAGAAAACAAAACGACCACUGAAAGCGGUCACAACACUCUUUCGCGGUGAGCUUGUCGACGAUGAGCUUGACCAAGGAGUUGCUGGGCCCCGGCGAUUUUCUUACAAUGAACUCGCUAUUGCGACCGAUAAUUUCUCAGAUGACAGAGCGCUUGGGAGAGGAGGCUUUGGGUCUGUGUACCGAGGGUUUGUGAGCGACAUGAACCACGAAGUGGCUAUCAAGAGGGUGUCUGAGACCUCUCGACAGGGCUGGAAGGAGUUUGUCACCGAGGUACGGAUCAUUAGUCGGCUCAAGCACCGGAACCUUGUGCAGCUCAUUGGUUGGUGCCAUGGCGGUGACCAGCUCCUCCUGGUCUAUGACUUGAUGCACAAUGGCAGCCUCGACACUCAUUUGUACGGGUCCGACUUCGUGCUGACAUGGGCACUUAGGUAUGAGAUAGUGCUCGGAGUAGGUUCCGCACUUCUGUACUUGCAUCAAGACAUCGAGCAGCGGGUGGUGCACAGGGACAUCAAGCCAAGUAACAUCAUGCUAGACACAUCCUUCACCGCCAAGCUAGGUGAUUUCGGGCUCGCGAGGCUCAUCAACGACGGUCGAAGAUCGCACACGACCGGAAUAGCCGGCACGAUGGGGUACAUAGACCCGGAGAGUGUGCUGGCGGGCAGGACGAGUGUCGAAUCAGACGUGUAUAGCUUUGGGGUUGUCCUCCUCGAGGUCGCCUCAGGGCAGCGGCCAGCUAAGGUCCAGGAGGACGGCGAUGUCGUCCACCUGGUUCAAUGGGUGUGGGACUUGUAUGGUAGAGGAUCAAUCCUUGAUGCUGCCGACGAACGGCUUAGGAGGGAGUUUAAUAGCGGGGAGAUUGAGCGUGUGAUGGUCGUGGGGCUCUGGUGUGGGCAUCCUGACCGUGGCAUGCGGCCAUCCAUUAGACAAGCGAUGAACAUGCUGCGGUUCGAUGCGCCGUUGCCGACCCUCCCGGCUAGGAUGCCGGUGGCGACCUAUGGGCCACCGACUAAUACUCUGAUUUCUGGAACGUUGGUCAUGAGCAGCGUCAGUGGCCGGUGA
This 2187-nucleotide ribosomal RNA is filed under the name Triticum aestivum (bread wheat). Its description in RNAcentral is "partial small subunit ribosomal RNA". Lineage: Eukaryota; Viridiplantae; Streptophyta; Magnoliopsida; Poales; Poaceae. The record is from RNAcentral.